UGGCGGACGGGUGAGUAACGCGUGGAUAACCUGCCCCAUACAGGGGGAUAACAGUUAGAAAUGACUGCUAAUACCGCAUAAGACCACGGCACCGCAUGGUGCAGGGGUAAAAACUCCGGUGGUAUGGGAUGGAUCCGCGUCUGAUUAGCUUGUUGGCGGGGUAACGGCCCACCAAGGCGACGAUCAGUAGCCGGCCUGAGAGGGCGACCGGCCACAUUGGGACUGAGACACGGCCCAAACUCCUACGGAAGGCAGCAG
This 258-nucleotide ribosomal RNA is filed under the name uncultured bacterium. RNAcentral describes it as "partial 16S ribosomal RNA". It matches the Rfam family "Bacterial small subunit ribosomal RNA", at positions 96 to 354 of the family's 1533-position model. The record is from RNAcentral.